Molecule: long non-coding RNA, 2639 nt
Organism: Mesocricetus auratus (golden hamster)
Lineage: Eukaryota; Metazoa; Chordata; Mammalia; Rodentia; Cricetidae
Exons: 2
Source: RefSeq, a predicted model, not a curated record
UCCCGCUGCAACUCUCCUAGGCGAUCCCAGGCAGCGAGACCAGACACCACCUUCCACUAGCGUCGCGGCCCCUCUUCCCCCUCCCCCACUCCCAAGCCCUCAGGCCACGCUCCCGACCCACACGAGUCCUAUUCCCUGACACCCGCCACUGUGCCCAACGCAUGCCCCGGAGGUAGGCGUGUCCUGGGAGCCUAGGAGUUUGCUGGCUCCGCCGCCGGCAGGCGGGAGAGACCGGGCCAGGCCCCCUGCGGCGCGGCGAACCCCGGUGCGCGGCCGUCCCUGAGCCCGCCACCCUCGGACACACAAACCCCGGGCACCGAGCCCGCCAAGGCUGCGGAGGAGAGAGUCAGGAGCGACCGCGGUGCAGGCUCACUCACUCGAUGAAGAAGCUGGCGCCUUCCUCCGUGAAGCCCUCCUCCCAGCCGCGCGGCAAGUCUGAGGGAAGGCGAGAAAAGUCGGUCAAACUCGUGCGUCCGUGGCGUCCCCCCACACCCCCCGCUGGCCCUGCGCCCACCUGAGCGGAUCAUGUGACCAGAGUUGACCGGCUCGCCGGUACGCGGGUGCAGCCAGGUCGUGCAGCCGAGCUGGUCACUGCGGGAGAGGUGCACCUGUUAGCGCCACCGCCCCACACACCCGCCCCGGGUCCCAGCCCCCAGCGCCCGACCCCACCCGAGUGCCGCCGCCCCUCGCGCACUUGAUAAAGAACACCCGGCCGUCCCGACAAACGCCGUACGACCAGUGCUCAGGAAAACCAGCCGACCUGCACGGCGCUCUCCCGGAAGUGUGCUUCUUUCUUAGCCUGGGAACACCGAACAGGUUUCUGCUGGAUUCCGGAGAGAGCAGCAGCUCCAGGGCUUCUGUGAAAAAACUUGCCUGUGAUUCCAGCUCCGGGGAGACUGAAGCAGGAGGAUUGCUGCAAGUCGGGAGACAGGACAACAUGGACUACUAUGAGACUCUCAAAAAGUGAAGUUAAGAAUGAGGUCUAGCAGGGGCUGUGUGCAGAAUAGGUGUAGUAGCUUCCCUGGAACCUGGCACACAGUGGGUCCUCUAGUACCCAGCAGGGCAAGCUUGCAUUCAUCUUCCCCGGCUCCCAGCAGGGACAGGUCCUCUCCAUGCCCCCACAUAUCUGAAGCUGCAGAGAUCACAGGCUGCUUCUGCCCUAAGCUCUCACAGGCGACAAAAAAGAGGUGACGUCUAGGUUUCCCUGCUGUCGCUUUGGAAGAGCUGUCCAUCUGCAGUCUGUAACACUAGCCUCUAAGUAUCCAACUCUGGGGGGCUCUCCUGAACCCCCAGAGCAAAGAAGACCCUUCUGCUUCCUUAACUCUCUUGUUUUCACCUCAUUGGCAUUUGUGUGUUUACUCUCUUGUUCUCCCAAAAAACUAAAUGUGUCAGCUAGACAAGAGAAGGAACCUUGGUAUGUCCCAAACUCCAGGGACCUGGGUGCCUAAACAAUUCUGGCUCAUGCUUACAGUAACUCCUCGAUGGGAGAAUGGAAAACUCGCAGACACCCUGUUCUGUCACACUGCAAGUGGCUGGAGCAGGAAGCUAGGCUCCGGGCAAGGGUCGGGCCAGCCUGCAGGGACACAAGCUGCAGGUCUAGAGCCCACCUUACAGUACAGCUGCCCAGUAGGUCCUGGCAUGAGAGAGGUGGGAGUAGGCUGGACCCUGAAGGUGGCGCAGCCAGAGCGUUGCAGAUGAACUAAUGGAGUGUAGGUGUGGGAGGCGUGUGCAGUGCUAGGAAGACCGCACAGGGAUCCUUCCUCAGAAGCAGUUAGAAAGGAGAGAGUUGCUGUGGUUGGGAGUGAAGAAACUUCUGUCUCUGACCCAGUUCUUGACCGAAUGAACAUAGAAAAAUGGCAUCUUUGUUAUUGAACACUGAUUUUAAAACUAUGUUAAAUGCACAAGGACAUGAACACACAGUUAAUAGAAAUGAACCACAAAUGACCUUUAAGUAAAUGGGAAGAUAAUUGGCCAUUGCAUAAUAUCAAGUAUACAAAUGAAAAUUAUAGUAGAAUUCUAUUUUGUAGAUGUUAGAUUGUAUUUUUAAAAAAACAUGCUUAUUCAUUGUUGCUGGGACUACAAAAUGAUUCUGUCUCCUUGAAGGCAAUUUGGCAGCUGCUGUUACAAGUAAAUACACAUUGCUUUGACCAGGCAACUCUACCACCAGGAAUUUAUCCCACAUGAAAUGUUAUAUCCCUUCAGUGUGGCUCAAGAGUAGCAUACUACUGUUACAGAGCACCUACUAGGUAGGUCCUAACCAUUUGUACUCCUGUUUCAGGGGUUCUUAUGCCUUCUGAACCUUGAGCACACUGCAUGCAGGCAAAAUGUAUAUACAUAAGAUAAAAAAUAUUUUAGAAGCAUUUCAAUCACAUACUACCAUGUGUCCCUGACAGUGUCCUCACGAGGACUUAUUCCAGAAAAUUACAUGUUGUUUUUCCUCAUAAAAAUGUGUGUAUAGGGGCUGGAGAGUGGUUAAGUGUUCUGUGGUUAAGAGCACUGACUGUUCUUCCAGAGGACUCAGGUUCAAUUCCCAGCACCCACAUGGCUGUUCACAACUGUCUGUAACUCCAGUUCCUGGAGACCUGACACCCAUGACAAACACCAAUGGAUAUAAAACAAAAAUAAAGAAUUUUUUUUAA